Molecule: ribosomal RNA, 480 nt
Filed under: uncultured bacterium
Lineage: Bacteria
Description: bacterial SSU rRNA
Rfam family: Bacterial small subunit ribosomal RNA
Source: RNAcentral
GAUGAACGCUGGCGGCGUGCUUAUCACAUGCAAGUCGAACGAAGCACUUAAUUACGAAUUCUUCGGAAGGACGAUUUAGUGACUGAGUGGCGGACGGGUGAGUAACGCGUGGGUAACCUGCCUCAUACAGGGGGAUAACAGUUGGAAACGACUGCUAAUACCGCAUAAGCGCACAGAGUCGCAUGACUCAGUGUGAAAAACUCCGGUGGUACAGGAUGGACCCGCGUCUGAUUAGAUAGUUGGUGAGGUAACGGCCCACCAAGUCAACGAUCAGUAGCCGGCCUGAGAGGGUGAACGGCCACAUUGGGACUGAGACACGGCCCAAACUCCUACGGGAGGCAGCAGUGGGGAAUAUUGCACAAUGGGGGAAACCCUGAUGCAGCGACGCCGCGUGAGUGAAGAAGUAUUUCGGUAUGUAAAGCUCUAUCAGCAGGGAAGAAAAUGACGGUACCUGACUAAGAAGCCCCGGCUAACUACGUG